RNAcentral lists this transfer RNA (61 nucleotides) under Cricetulus griseus (Chinese hamster). It matches the Rfam family "tRNA", at positions 6 to 65 of the family's 71-position model. From Rfam's summary of the family: Transfer RNA (tRNA) molecules are approximately 80 nucleotides in length. The record is from Rfam by way of RNAcentral. Lineage: Eukaryota; Metazoa; Chordata; Mammalia; Rodentia; Cricetidae.
UAUAGCUCAGAGGUAGAGUAUUUGUUUUGCAUGCAAAAGACCUUGAGUUCCAUUCCCACUA